GCCGGUAGACAGGGCACUUGUUAGGGAGGUGAAAGAUCUGCACUCAAGUCCCUGCUCCAAAGCAGGAAUUUGGAGCUGAGUGUCUCACAUCCCAGAGCACUCAGUUACUGGAUGAAAUGCUCCCUCUGCUGGCAGAGAAGAGUGGCCAGUGGAACACUAGAUCCCAGUGCGGCUUCUCCACUGAAGUUAAUAGGAUUUCUCAACAUAGAGGAAGCAGAAAUGGAAUCUGGGACCAAACUGUGAUUGCCUUCAAAUGAGUGGUCCUAGGAGCAUAAAUUACCAAUCCAUGAAAAGUGAGAUUUUUUUACUUUUUGUCCUAAUUGAGGAUGGGGGAAAAAAAUGAAAUCUCAAACUCUCACUGGACAGGAAAACCAUUUCUCACCCACCUCUAGCCCUCAUUUUGCCUCCAGACAGCUCCACACUCUUACCACCUGGGCUUUUCCCAGGAGGCCCAGAGUCACAUGCUCAGAGGUCACUAUGAACAUGGCAUAAGUGCCUACAUAUUAGAGCACGUCAGAGAACCAAUUUUUUUCCAGGGUAAAUUCCACAGGAAAGA
Long non-coding RNA from Mauremys reevesii (Reeves's turtle), 556 nucleotides. RefSeq lists it as uncharacterized. Lineage: Eukaryota; Metazoa; Chordata; Testudines; Geoemydidae. The record is from RefSeq and is a predicted model, not a curated record. The transcript is spliced from 4 exons.